AGCUUUGCGCAGUGGCAGUAUCGUAGCCAAUGAGGUUUAUCCGAGGUGCAAUUAUUGCUAAUUGAAAAAAAGAUUUUAAUUUU
This 83-nucleotide small nuclear RNA is filed under the name Ictidomys tridecemlineatus (thirteen-lined ground squirrel). RNAcentral's name for it is "Spermophilus tridecemlineatus (thirteen-lined ground squirrel) U4 spliceosomal RNA". It matches the Rfam family "U4 spliceosomal RNA", at positions 1 to 82 of the family's 138-position model. Rfam says of the family: U4 small nuclear RNA (U4 snRNA) is a component of the major U2-dependent spliceosome. The structure of U4 snRNA from yeast and human has been reported. Lineage: Eukaryota; Metazoa; Chordata; Mammalia; Rodentia; Sciuridae. The record is from Rfam by way of RNAcentral.